Small nuclear RNA from Phragmites australis (common reed), 102 nucleotides. The record is from RefSeq and is a predicted model, not a curated record. Lineage: Eukaryota; Viridiplantae; Streptophyta; Magnoliopsida; Poales; Poaceae.
GUCUCUUCGGAGACCUCCGAUGAAAUUAGAAUGAUACAAAGAAAAUUAGCAUGACCCCUGUGCAAGAAUGACACACACAAAAAAAAGAGUGACCCAUGUAGU